AUUAAAAGCAAGAUGUAAUAACCCAAUUUUUAAAUACGGGUUUAUUUGGUAAUUUUAACUAGAAGGAAUUAAAAAAAAAAAAAUAGAAAAGAAGAAAUUUAGUGGGCCAAGCCCAAAAAGAAAAGGAAAAAAAAAAGAGAGUUAUGAUGGCUUCUAAGCCAUCUGACGUGAGGAACAAAAACAAAUAGAAGCAGAAUGCACACAGGGAAAGGAAACGCAGUGGAGGAAAAAAAAAAGGGGGAGAAAAAGAAAGGAGAAGAGGAGAAAAAUAGGGAUUUUCAACCCUAAUCAUCAAGUGUGAGGCAAUUCGGAGACUCGAGAACGCAGUUUUGAUUUAUUGGGAAGUGUGCUUGAAUUGUGAAUUUGAGAUACUAUGGGUGACGACGAAGCUAGUAGUUGACGAGUUUGCUGAAGUUGAUCUAUUAGUUGAGGUGAGCCGCCGCUUUGUUCGUGGAGGCUGCCAAAAGUGUCAUUAUCAUUUAUUUAUUAAUGUCUUUUCUUUUGGGGUUUUUAAACCCGAGUGUUUUGUAAUUCUCUUAGAUGCUCCAUGGUCUAGUGUGGGAUUUGGGCAAGAGUAUUUGGUUAAUAUUUUGAGACACUAAUUAUCCACAAUUAAUUAUUAUAUUAUUUGAGUGCUUAUUUAAUUUGGUUAAUGCCGCAAAAUUAUGAUUAAGAUAUGAAAAUGUGGUUCGCCUGGCCGGUGGUGUGUGCUGGGUGCCAAUCACGUCUAGGGGGUAUUUUGGGACGUGACACAAGAUGACUAAUAUAAGACUUGGUCUGAUGAAAAUAAUUUUAAGAUAUCGUUUUCAGCUCCAAUAUA
Long non-coding RNA from Lycium barbarum (goji berry), 820 nucleotides. RefSeq lists it as uncharacterized. The record is from RefSeq and is a predicted model, not a curated record. The transcript has 3 exons. Lineage: Eukaryota; Viridiplantae; Streptophyta; Magnoliopsida; Solanales; Solanaceae.